Molecule: ribosomal RNA, 497 nt
Filed under: uncultured bacterium
Lineage: Bacteria
Description: partial 16S ribosomal RNA
Rfam family: Bacterial small subunit ribosomal RNA
Source: RNAcentral
GAUGAACGCUGGCGGCGUGCCUAAUACAUGCAAGUCGAGCGAACAGACGAGGAGCUUGCUCCUCUGACGUUAGCGGCGGACGGGUGAGUAACACGUGGAUAACCUACCUAUAAGACUGGGAUAACUUCGGGAAACCGGAGCUAAUACCGGAUAAUAUAUUGAACCGCAUGGUUCAUUAGUGAAAGACGGUUUUGCUGUCACUUAUAGAUGGAUCCGCGCCGCAUUAGCUAGUUGGUAAGGUAACGGCUUACCAAGGCAACGAUGCGUAGCCGACCUGAGAGGGCGACCGGCCACACUGGAACUGAGACACGGCCCAGACUCCUACGGGAGGCAGCAGUAGGGAAUCUUCGGCAAUGGGCGAAAGCCUGACGGAGCAACGCCGCGUGAGUGAUGAAGGUCUUCGGAUCGUAAAACUCUGUUAUCAGGGACGAACAAAUGUGUAAGUAACUAUGCACGUCUUGACGGUACCUAAUCAGAAAGCCACGGCUAACUACGUG